Molecule: ribosomal RNA, 459 nt
Filed under: uncultured bacterium
Lineage: Bacteria
Description: partial 16S ribosomal RNA
Rfam family: Bacterial small subunit ribosomal RNA
Source: RNAcentral
CCUACGGGUGGCAGCAGUGAGGAAUAUUGGUCAAUGGGAGAGAUCCUGAACCAGCCAAGCCGCGUGAGGGAAGACGGCCCUAUGGGUUGUAAACCUCUUUUGUCGGAGAACAAAACCCGGGACGUGUCCCGGACUGCGUGUAUCCGAAGAAAAAGCAUCGGCUAACUCCGUGCAAGCAGCCGCGGUAAUACGGAGGAUGCGAGUGUUAACCGGGUUUAUUGGGUUAAAGGGGUGCGUAGUCGGUCCGUUAAGUCCGCGGUAAAAUUGCGGGGCUCAACCCCGUCGAGCCGUUGAAACUGGCAGACUGGAGUGGGCGAGAAGUACGCGGAAUGCGCGGUGUAGCGGUGAAAUGCAUAGAUAUCGCGCAGAACUCCGAUUGCGAAGGCAGCGUACCGGCGCCAGACUGACGCUGAGGCACGAAAGCGUGGGGAUCGAACAGGAUUAGAUACCCCUGUAGUC